This 22-nucleotide non-coding RNA is filed under the name Mus musculus (house mouse). Lineage: Eukaryota; Metazoa; Chordata; Mammalia; Rodentia; Muridae. The record is from RNAcentral.
UAAUCUCUUCCUGAACCCUUUG